Molecule: non-coding RNA, 1492 nt
Organism: Anas platyrhynchos (mallard)
Lineage: Eukaryota; Metazoa; Chordata; Aves; Anseriformes; Anatidae
Source: RefSeq, a predicted model, not a curated record
GGUUGUGGGUUCAGGCAGGAGCCCCAGGGAGGUUUUGGGGUCCCAGCUUGUCAUGUCCCCUUGUGGUACCUGCAAUCAGGGUGUUGCUGUGCCCAACUGAUCCAUGGCUUCCCUGGGAAAACUCUCAGAGUAGUAGGUUUGGGACAGGGACAUGGCCCCAUAUGACACUGCCUCUUUUUGUUCCUGCACGGGGCAACCCCAGUGUCUAACCACUCUGCUUCAGCCCAUGAGGGACCAGAAGGCCCCCUGUGUACUCUGCACUGCAUCUGGAUGUGGCCCUGUUCCCUCAACCUCUCGCAUCUCCUAUCUGCUACCACAAGAGCAAUGCCACAGCAUAAUUGCAUCUGCAAGGCCUUCAAACAAAAUAAACAGCCCAAUGAUUUGCUGAUUCACCACAAACUGUGCCUCAUGACUGACCUGGACAGGCGGGUAGGAGCGGCUGGGCAAGGUGCUCGUGUCCCAGCCCGGUUGUCUGAUUGCACCUGGUUGUCUUGAUUGUCUCAUUACACACUGGGCAACGCGUCCCAACUUUCUAUCGCACAGCACCGUUUCAGACACAUCCUGGGUGCCCCACUGCUGCACGGAUGGCCCUGGGGUCCCCGUGCAUUGCUGAAGCCCACAGCAAGGCCGGGAAAACUGUGGAGGGGAGAGGCGAAGGGCGGGAGGGUAGGGGGUGGGCAGGGUUUCCGUGUACCCAGCACUCACCUGUGCCGCCUAAACACCUGCAGUGCUUUCGCUUUCCACUUUCACUCCUUGGAACCUGCCGGGACAAAGCAGGGCCAUGGGGCUGCUGUGGUCGGGGGGCAUCCGCCUGCUGCUGCUGCUCCUGCUGCUGCUGCUGCUGCUGGGGGUCCUGGGCGGGGCGGCAAGAGAGCCCCACUCCCUGCGCUAUUUCCACACCAUGGUUUCGGACCCGGGCCCGGGGUUGCCACAGUUUGUGGCCGUGGGGUCCGUGGACUGGGAGGUCUUUGUGUACUACGACAGCGAGACCCGGAGAAAGGUGCCCUGGGUGGACUGGAUUGUGGCCCAUAUGGAUCAGCAGUACUGGGACAGGGAGACGGAGACCUCAUGGGGGAGUGAGCAGAUUUUCCACGUGGGCCUGGACACACUGCGGGAGCGCUACAACCAGAGCAGGGAUUCAAAGAACGGAGGCUGGUUAAGAAGACAGGAUGGAUGAAGAGUUAGGGAAGAAAGCAAGGCAGGCACUCUGGCUUCGAGAACUGACCCAGUAACUGUGCACAGACCAAGGUCCACAAGGGGCACAGCCGGAGAUGGCUGAAGCAAGAGUAGAAGUGAGAAAGGAAGAGUCUCAGGGAAAUCUGGAGUAUGGAGCUCCCUUACACAGUAAAGAGCUCAGCAGUACACCGGGGAAUCUGGUUAACCCGUUAGUUAAGCCGGAAGCCCAGACCCCGCACUGCCCACAGUGCUUUCACUUUCGCUUCUGGCAACGUGCGGGACCGCGAUCUACCCGGCGCCCGGUGACGUCAUAAGA